CACACUGCCACGCGUGCGAUUCGGCCCCGCCUCCUCCCGGGCGCUGGCUGCGCGCGCAACCCUCCCAGCCUGCCCUGCGGCUCAGGGAGGAGCACCGCGUGCCGCUAGCCUGGUUCCUGCUGUUGGAGGUUUGGCGACAAAGUGACAGCUGGCCGGUUUGGCUCCUCCCCUCAGUCCCCGGCGCUCUGGCUUUCCCUGUUUUUCCUCUCCUAGGAACCACCUCCUCCUCACGGCAGCAGCGAGGGGUCCUGUGUUAUCUUAAAUUUGGGAUGCAUAUAUCAUCAGAUACACCUUUUUCAGUGGACAUACUUUUUUGAAGAAAUGUGAAAGAUUACCAUAUGAAAUUUUACAUAGAGUCAGGGUUCACACUAAGAGAAGGAGCCUAUUGAUGGUCAGCGUAGCACCAGAGUUUUUCAAGAAGAUGUGGACAUUAUUUCAAUGAGAAUUUUAAAAACAUCUUCAAUCUACACAUGUAA
Molecule: long non-coding RNA, 476 nt
Organism: Neofelis nebulosa (Clouded leopard)
Lineage: Eukaryota; Metazoa; Chordata; Mammalia; Carnivora; Felidae
Exons: 4
Source: RefSeq, a predicted model, not a curated record